GGUUGUGGCUCAGCGGUAAGAGUGUUUGCCUUGCAAGCACAAGACCCUGGGUUCGAUCCUCAGCACCA
This 68-nucleotide transfer RNA is filed under the name Marmota monax (woodchuck). RNAcentral's name for it is "tRNA.Ala". It matches the Rfam family "tRNA". From Rfam's summary of the family: Transfer RNA (tRNA) molecules are approximately 80 nucleotides in length. The record is from RNAcentral. Lineage: Eukaryota; Metazoa; Chordata; Mammalia; Rodentia; Sciuridae.